CCAGGUGGGUGCUGGGAAUCAAACCUGGGUCCUCUGGAAGAGCAGUCAGUGCUCUUAACCCCUGAGCCAUCUCCAGUCCCUGCCUCCCAGGCUGUGCUUUCUUAACAUUUAUUCAGAAGUUUAUUCACAUCUUCAAUUCUUUUCUUUUCCUUUAUUAAUUAAAACAUAUUAUAUGUGUAUGAGUGUUUUACCUGCGUGAAUAUGGACCACUUGUGUGGUGCCUACAGGGUUAGAAGAGGGCAUCUGAUACCCUGGCUGUGGGCUGCCAUAUGGGUGCUGGGAAUCAAACCUUCCAGGUUUCUGGGAGGGCAACUAAUACUGCUAAUUGAUGGCUUUUUCCUCUUCCUCAGUGAUGCAGAUAGUGGCCAGAUUAGAUCAGAUUAGACCAGGCUAAAAGUAGAUAAUAGCAGGUGUAUUAGGAGACAGCUCUGGAUUGGGUUCACUGAUCUCAUGGGUAGAGGUCAGCGAAUUCACACAUCCAGGCUAAUAGCAAGGGGGGUUUAUGGGUGUUGGGUUUGGAGUCAUGGCAUGUGAGCUAGAAGCUGAGACUGUGCCCGUAUGUGGUCCCUGGGCGGGCACUCUUGGGUGGGUUGCCCGGAGUUUUCUCUGUGUGGGCGGGGUCGGGGGAAGGAGGGUCGAUGGGGUUUCCCAGCUUGUGCAAGGGCUGAGCAGGGCUCCAGCCGAACACCAAUCAUUGAGCCAUCUCUUGCUAGCCACCAUGUCUUAGUUUCUUUGAACGCCUUUGUCAUCAUUCUUUAGAAUUCUCCAUCUGCAAUGACAUGUAAGUCACUCUUACUGGGUGAACAUGACUUUAGGAUUGGUAGAGUUUGGAGGAGACAUUGUCUUCAUCUUUUCAUUGAAACUUUGUGUGUGUCUGCUUAAGUUUGCUUAGUUGCUCUUCUUGUUUCAGUGGAAGUGUAUAUACAGUGUUUUGGAGGGACUAAGUUCUAGGUAGGAUUGAAUUGCUGUUUUUCUGUUAGACUGGUGGUCAGGGCACCUGGCUCCAUCCCAUCUCCUCCCUAUGAGGAGUGUCUUUAACAGCUGUCGAUCCAGGGGUCCAUCGCUGUGAAAACAGAGCGGUAGGCAGCUAUGGAACAUUUACCCCUGCAGUGACCGUCAUUGCAAGGAGGAAAGAGACACUGAUUGUGCUGUGUGUACUAACUUACCAGCUGUUGUGGGGAAAUGGAAAGAAAAGGAGAACAGAUAAAGCAGAGAGGAGCACAUAGAAGGUAGAGCUUUAGUGAAAAGACAGUGUUGGAGGAUGCUGGGGAGCCCUCUCCGUGGAGAAAGGGCCUGCCUGGAAAGCACAAGGACCACAGAUUGGAUUCCUAGCAUCCAGAAGACGGGUCAUCUCUAUAAAAGAGGAAAGACAACGCUGCUGCCACAGGCCAGGUGGCGACCCAGCCGGAGACCUACCCUCCAUCUCCUUGGACCUGCCUGGGGCAGUAAAGCUGCCUUUGUCCAGACACGCCAUCUGACUGAAGACUUCCUAGACAAACAGACACUGAGACCAACAGAUAGCAAACUUGGGAUCCUCCAGCAACAGAUGAACUCUCUUGCCUGAGCCUAAUGGCUACCGAACUUGGGGAAACUUACACGAUGUCUAUGUAAAACUGAUGUUAAUACCCUUAUAAACUGUACAAUUCACUGAACAA
This is a long non-coding RNA of Mus musculus (house mouse), 1655 nucleotides long. RefSeq annotates it as predicted gene, 42237. NCBI's taxonomy places the organism in Eukaryota, Metazoa, Chordata, Mammalia, Rodentia, Muridae. The record is from RefSeq and is a predicted model, not a curated record. The transcript has 2 exons.